RNAcentral lists this transfer RNA (71 nucleotides) under Nicotiana attenuata. It matches the Rfam family "tRNA". From Rfam's summary of the family: Transfer RNA (tRNA) molecules are approximately 80 nucleotides in length. Their secondary structure includes four short double-helical elements and three loops (D, anti-codon, and T loops). Further hydrogen bonds mediate the characteristic L-shaped molecular structure. tRNAs have two regions of fundamental functional importance: the anti-codon, which is responsible for specific mRNA codon recognition, and the 3' end, to which the tRNAs corresponding amino acid is attached (by aminoacyl-tRNA synthetases). tRNAs cope with the degeneracy of the genetic code in two manners: having more than one tRNA (with a specific anti-codon) for a particular amino acid; and 'wobble' base-pairing, i.e. permitting non-standard base-pairing at the 3rd anti-codon position. Lineage: Eukaryota; Viridiplantae; Streptophyta; Magnoliopsida; Solanales; Solanaceae. The record is from Rfam by way of RNAcentral.
GCACCAGUGGUCUAGUGGUAGGAUAAUACCAUGCCACGAUACAGACCCUGGUUCGAUUCCCGGCUGGUGAA